RNAcentral lists this ribosomal RNA (437 nucleotides) under uncultured Bacillus sp. Its description in RNAcentral is "bacterial SSU rRNA". It matches the Rfam family "Bacterial small subunit ribosomal RNA", at positions 957 to 1392 of the family's 1533-position model. Lineage: Bacteria; Bacillati; Bacillota; Bacilli; Caryophanales; Bacillaceae. The record is from RNAcentral.
UAACGCGAAGAACCUUACCCAGGUCUUGACAUCCCAUUGACCACUGUAGAGAUACAGUUUUCCCUUCGGGGACAACGGUGACAGGUGGUGCAUGGUUGUCGUCAGCUCGUGUCGUGAGAUGUUGGGUUAAGUCCCGCAACGAGCGCAACCCUUAUUCUUAGUUGCCAUCAUUUAGUUGGGCACUCUAAGGAGACUGCCGGUGACAAACCGGAGGAAGGUGGGGAUGACGUCAAAUCAUCAUGCCCCUUAUGACCUGGGCUACACACGUGCUACAAUGGACGGUACAAACGGUUGCCAACCCGCGAGGGGGAGCUAAUCCGAUAAAACCGUUCUCAGUUCGGAUUGUAGGCUGCAACUCGCCUACAUGAAGCCGGAAUCGCUAGUAAUCGCGGAUCAGCAUGCCGCGGUGAAUACGUUCCCGGGCCUUGUACACACCG